RNA transcript from Helianthus annuus (common sunflower), 825 nucleotides. It is a transcript of the gene named glucan endo-1,3-beta-glucosidase 12-like, with no coding region annotated. NCBI's taxonomy places the organism in Eukaryota, Viridiplantae, Streptophyta, Magnoliopsida, Asterales, Asteraceae. The transcript is spliced from 4 exons. The record is from RefSeq and is a predicted model, not a curated record.
GAAUCCAUAUAUAGUAUAGUGGUAUAUAUAUAAAACAUAGGAUUUCUCUUUGAUUUUGUACAUAAAGAAACAUAUAUUAUGAACACAUACAACAAUUUUUAAGAAUCGAUCCUCAUACAAAUCAAUGAAUCGAUAGGUACACAACGACAGUCACUACCGCCGCACACAAAACUCUUACCCGGCGACCUUUUCUCCGGCGAUUGUCCUCAACCGCCAACCGUUCCGGUGAUGCUGUUUACAUCGGCGUUUAACCGGUUAAGUUUCUACUCAUCUCCAGUUUCGAGUCGAGUCUACAGCCGUCCGUCAUCUCCGACACGUGUGAACCUUCACGGGCUCGCUCCGGUGACGUCAUCAUCGGUGAAGUUUUCGUUAGCGAGUAGAUCUGGAUCUCCGAAUAGAUCUGCGACGGUGAGUUCUCGAGAAAAGUUGGGACUUCGAGGGCAGUUCAGGGUAAGAAAACAUGGUGUGUUGCAAAGCCAUCAUCGAGUCAAUCGGAACUGUUAGAUAUUGUAAAUUUCACGUGCUCGCAAAUUGAUUGUAGGAUCUUGGAGAAAGGUGGUGCAUGCUUUUUGCCUGAUAACCUAAUUAACCAUGCAUCCAUAGCUAUGAACAUUUAUUAUCAGUGCAAGGGAAGAAACCCAUGGAAUUGUCAUUUUGGUAACUCUGGUCUCAUCACUCUCACUGACCCAAGUUAUGGAGGUUGCCCAUAUGCGUAAAUGACUAGGAAGAAGAAGAUGUUGUAGCAUGAGAACCUGUUAAGACCAAAGUUAAUUGUUAUGUAGGUUCAUAUAAUUCAAGAUAGUUCAAUAAUAAAGCAUUAUUUUU